RNAcentral lists this transfer RNA (82 nucleotides) under Streptococcus pyogenes. RNAcentral's name for it is "tRNA-Ser". It matches the Rfam family "tRNA". Rfam says of the family: Transfer RNA (tRNA) molecules are approximately 80 nucleotides in length. Their secondary structure includes four short double-helical elements and three loops (D, anti-codon, and T loops). Lineage: Bacteria; Bacillati; Bacillota; Bacilli; Lactobacillales; Streptococcaceae. The record is from RNAcentral.
GGAGGAUUACCCAAGUCCGGCUGAAGGGAACGGUCUUGAAAACCGUCAGGCGUGUACGUGGGUUCGAAUCCCACAUCCUCCU